Pelusios castaneus (West African mud turtle) is the source of this 66-nucleotide small nucleolar RNA. The record is from Ensembl. Lineage: Eukaryota; Metazoa; Chordata; Testudines; Pelomedusidae.
CCUGUAUGAUGAGGUGCAAAUAGACUGACUCCAAUGAUGGAGGUCUGUAAUUAGCUCUAUCUGAUU